CUACGGAGGUUGCAAGCGUUACUCGGAAUCACUGGGCGUAAAGCGCGCGCAGGCGGUCUUUUAAGUUGGAUGUGAAAGCCUACGGCUCAACCGUAGAACUGCAUCCAAAACUAUUAGACUAGAGUGUGGGAGAGGAAGAUGGAAUUAGUUGUGUAGGGGUAAAAUCCGUAGAGAUAACUAGGAAUACCAAAAGCGAAGGCAAUCUUCUGGAACACUACUGACGCUGAGGCGCGAAAGCGUGGGGAGCAAACAGGAUUAGAAACCCCAGUAGUCC
This 274-nucleotide ribosomal RNA is filed under the name uncultured bacterium. RNAcentral describes it as "partial 16S ribosomal RNA". It matches the Rfam family "Bacterial small subunit ribosomal RNA", at positions 523 to 796 of the family's 1533-position model. The record is from RNAcentral.